Molecule: ribosomal RNA, 461 nt
Filed under: uncultured bacterium
Lineage: Bacteria
Description: partial 16S ribosomal RNA
Rfam family: Bacterial small subunit ribosomal RNA
Source: RNAcentral
AUGAACGCUGACAGAAUGCUUAACACAUGCAAGUCUUUGGCGAAGCUGUGCUUGCACCGCCUAGCCAAGGCGGACGGGUGAGUAACGCGUAAGGAACUUGCCCUGCAGUCAGGGAUAACAGACGGAAACGACUGAUAAGACCUGGUAAAGUCAGGCGGACUCAUGUCCAGCCUGAUGAAAAGAGAUGCUGCAGGAGAGCCUUGCGUCCUAUUAGCUUGUUGGUGGGGUAACGGCCCACCAAGGCGAUGAUAGGUAGCCGGCCUGAGAGGGUGGGCGGCCACAAGGGGACUGAGAUACGGCCCUUACUCCUACGGGAGGCAGCAGUGGGGAAUAUUGGACAAUGGGGGCAACCCUGAUCCAGCAAUUCGGUGUGCACGAUGAAGGUUUUCGGAUUGUAAAGUGCUUUCAGCAGGGAAGAAAAAAUGACGGUACCUGCAGAAGAAGCGACGGCUAAAUACGUG